UGAAAAGGAGGGAAGGAGAAAGAAAAAACCUAAAAUUAAAUUAAGAACCAAAAAAAUAAAAAUACAUUCGUCUGUAUAAAGAGUCAAAAAUCAUUUCUGACACCCCUGAUGGACCAUUCCUUAUGCUAUUUACACAAGCAUGAAGCCUUGCGUGCAUACAACAAUGAUAAGGGUUUUGUUUAGAAUUGCCCUUAUUUGAUUUAUCUAUCAAUUACGGUCUCACCAAUAAUGACUCAUCUACCAGGCUUUACCAAAGAAAAACCUCCCUCGGUUGAAUCAUUUUAGUUCUUCAAUUUUAGGUUGUUUCAUUUUUGUUUCUUUCUCCAAUUAGUGUCAUCCCCUCGGUUAGAGAAGGGACAGUCAAGUACAAAGUCCAAGGGUUCAUCAACAGCUUCUAUUGUUGCCCUUACUGAUGAGGGCUACAUGCUAUUAAUUUGAGUGACUUUGGAUUCAUUGUGGUUAGAGAUGGAUGCACCAUUUUCAGGUCCCGGUGGUAAUGGUGGAGAUCUACCCAGUUCCUGUGAGUUGCACAUUGUGAGGGUAAAGAUACCUUAAAAGCAGCUUGGAUGGUUUUCUUAUCAAAGCCUUUGACCAAUUCAUUGAUCCUGGAGUAUGCACCAAUUGAUGGAUCCUGCAAUGGCAGAUAUAGCAUGAAUAAGAAGUAAGAAAGCUUAGAAACUUCAAUUUUAUUAUUGACCUCGUUCAAUAAAAGAAUGCAUGUGUACACUUACAAAAGUGGUAUCCUCUGUGUUGGCAAAGAUUGCAUAAAUCCUAAGUCUAUUUCUCUCUGCCUCCAAGUUGCUUUGUAUAUAGAAAACAGAACCUUCAUUGAGCUUAAAUAGAUCUCCUUCACGUAAAUCAGUCCUCCUAGUACCUCCAUCUUCAUCUGUCCAAGUCAGCCUUCCACUC
Lupinus albus (white lupine) is the source of this 909-nucleotide non-coding RNA. The record is from the annotation of a GenBank genome assembly. NCBI's taxonomy places the organism in Eukaryota, Viridiplantae, Streptophyta, Magnoliopsida, Fabales, Fabaceae.